GGGGAUAUAGCUCAGCUGGUUAGAGCGCUAUACUGAUAAUGUAGAGGUCUGUGGUUCAAGUCCACAUAUCCCCACCA
RNAcentral lists this transfer RNA (77 nucleotides) under Candidatus Saccharimonadota bacterium. RNAcentral's name for it is "tRNA-Ile". It matches the Rfam family "tRNA". From Rfam's summary of the family: Transfer RNA (tRNA) molecules are approximately 80 nucleotides in length. Their secondary structure includes four short double-helical elements and three loops (D, anti-codon, and T loops). Lineage: Bacteria; Candidatus Saccharimonadota. The record is from RNAcentral.